CAGUAGCCGCGGGAAUACGAAGGGGGCUAGCGUUGCUCGGAAUGACUGGGCGUAAAGGGCGCGUAGGCGGCGAUCAAAGUCAGGCGUGAAAUUCCUGGGCUCAACCUGGGGGCUGCGUUUGAUACUUGAUUGCUAGAGUGGGGAAGAGGGUCGUGGAAUUCCCAGUGUAGAGGUGAAAUUCGUAGAUAUUGGGAAGAACACCGGUGGCGAAGGCGGCGACCUGGUCCUUGACUGACGCUGAGGCGCGAAAGCGUGGGGAGCAAACAGGAUUAGAGACCCCUGUAGUCCCUGUCUCUUAUAC
RNAcentral lists this ribosomal RNA (301 nucleotides) under uncultured bacterium. RNAcentral's name for it is "partial 16S ribosomal RNA". It matches the Rfam family "Bacterial small subunit ribosomal RNA", at positions 509 to 807 of the family's 1533-position model. The record is from RNAcentral.